GGGGGGAGUUUCCUCACCAUCAUGAAGACGAAGGUGAUGGUCAUGAAGAUGUUCGCGAGCGCCACUACCGUCUGGUCGGCGGAGAUGGCCAUGGUCAUGGCGGUGGCGGUGUAGGCCACCAGGGUGACCGUCAGCGUGAAGACGGAGAAGGCGGCCAAUGUGGUUUUCAGCCCUGAGCGGACAAAACGCCACACAGUCCUUCAGCCAGAAACGGACCAGAAAGGUCAAAAAGAGGGUCUUACCGAUCAAAAAGUAGACCCCACAGCUGAAGAUGACCGAGGUGACGGUGCGCAGGACCAUGUCGGACAAGACCUUGGACAGGAAGUAGACAGACACCCUGUAGUAGCCGCUGAUGUACUCGUGCCUGCAACAAGACCAGAACUAAGUUAGACCCACUUGGUUUUACUUUGUAGUUUGCUUGUUGAUGAUUUUGUAUUGUGUAGUUAUGUUUAUAUGGUAAUUAUUAUUCUGUGACUGUAAAUUGCCUUCCCGGGUAAGGUUUAUUCAGGUGUACUGGAGAGGAGGCUACGCAGGAUAGUCCAACCUCGGAUUCAGGAGGAACAGUGUGGUUUUCGUCCUGGUCGUGGAACUGUGGACCAGCUCUAUACUCUGGGCAGGGUUCUUGAGGGUGCAUGGGAGUUUGCCCAACCAGUCUACAUGUGCUUUGUGGACUUGGAGAAGGCAUUCGACCGUGUCCCUCGGGAAGUCCUGUGGGGAGUGCUCAGAGAGUAUGGGGUAUCGGACUGUCUUAUUGUGGCGGUCUGCUCCCUGUAUGAUCAGUGCCGGAGCUUGGUCAAAUCGGACCCAUUUCCAGUGAGGGUUGGACUCCGCCAAGGCUGCCCUUUGUCACUGAUUCUGUUCGUAACUUUUAUGGACAGAAUUUCUAGGCGCAGUCAAGGCGUUGAGGGGUUCCGGUUUGGUGACCGCGGGAUUAGGUCUCUGCUUUUUGCAGAUGAUGUGGUCCUGAUGGUUUCAUCUGGCCAGGAUCUUCAGCUCUCACUGGAUCGGUUUGCAGCCGAGUGUGAAGCGACCGGAAUGAGAAUCAGCACCUCCAAGUCCGAGUCCAUGGUUCUCGCUCGGAAAAGGGUGGAGUGCCAUCUCCGGGUUGGGGAGGAGACCCUGCCCCAAGUGGAGGAGUUCAAGUACCUAGGAGUCUUGUUCACGAGUGAGGGAAGAGUGGAUGGUGAGAUCGACAGGCGGAUCGGUGCGGCGUCUUCAGUAAUGUAAAACCAGGUUCUAUAUUUUGUGUUCACUUUUAUUAGCAGCAAAAAAGUGAAGUUAGCUAGCUUGCAAAAACGGCAAACUUGCAGAACAUUUCCAAAUUUUAAAUCACUUUUAUUAUUAGCCCAAAAAAAUAGUUAAAUAGCUAGCUAGCUUGCUGCUAACAGCAAAUUUGACCAUUUUUUAAAAUGUAAAACCAGGCUCGUUAUUCUGUUUUCACUUUUAUUAGCAGCAAAAAAGUGAAGUUAAUUAGCCAGCUUGCCAACAACGGCAAAUUUGACGACCUUUUCCGAAUGUAACCUCAGUUUAAACAUUUAGUUUUCACUUUUAUUACUAGCCAAAAAAAUUGUUAAAUAGCUAGCUAGCUUGCUGCCGACAGCAAAUUUGAUGAUUUUUUGAAAAGUAAAAUCAGGCUCUACAUUUAGUUUUCACUUUUAAUAAGCAAAAAAUAGACGUUAAAUAGGUAGCUUGCUGCCAACAGCUAAUUUGACGAUUUAAAAAAAAAAGUAAAACCAGGCUCUAUAUUCUGUUUUCACUUUUAUUAGCAGCAAAAAAGUUUAAUUAGCUAGCUUGCGACCAACAGCAUAUUUGACAACUUUUUCCAAAUGUAAAAUCAGACUCUACAUUUAGUUUUCACUUUUAUUAUAAGCCAAAAAUAGACGUUAAAUAGCUAGCUAGCUUAUUGCCGACAGCAAAUUUGACGAAUUUUUGAAAAGUAAAACCAGGCUUUAUAUUUUGUUUUCACUUUUAUUAGCAGCAAAAAAAGUGAAGUUAGUUAGCUAGCUUGCGACAGACGGCAAUUUUAACGACUUUUUCCAAAAGUAAACUCAGGCUCUACAUUUAGUUUUCACUUUUAAUAUAAGCACCGAUUAAUGCGGAUGUUGUACCAAUCCGUUGUGGUGAAGAAGGAGCUGAGCCGGAAGGCAAAGCUCUCAACUUACCGGCCGAUCUACGUUCCCAUCCUCACCUAUGGUCAUGAGCUUUGAGUCAAGAUCACGGGUACAAGCGGCCAAAAUGAGUUUCCUCCGCUGUGUGGCGGGGCUCUCCCUUAGAGAUAGGGUGAGAAGCUCUGCUCUCAAGGUAAAGCCGCUGCUCCUCCACAUGGAGAGGAGCCAGAUGAGGUGGUUCGGGCAUCUGGUCAGGAUGCCACCCGAACGCCUCCAUAGGGAGGUGUUUAGGGCACCUCCAACCGGUAGGAGGCCACGGGGAAGACCCAGAACACGUUGGGAAGACUAUGUCUCCUGGCUGGCCUGCAACCCGACCUCGGAUAAGCGAAAGAAGAAGAUGGAUAGAUGGAUGGGUAGGUGGAUGGAUGGAUGGAUGUAAAUUGUUUGCUUAAUUGUUUUGAGUUUGUGGACCCCUAGGAAGACUAGUGGGUUGUUGUGGCAACCAGCUAAUGGGGAUGCUUGAUAAAAAUCAAAUUAUAAAAGUGAUAAUAUACCAUAUUGUAGGUGUUUAAUACACUUUGCAAUCAUAUUUUGCUAUUUGUUUAAUUUUUGUUGUGUUUUGUUUGAUUGUAAAAGUGACAACUAUGGAGGAGCUGGUCUGAGAAGUAAAAGAGUAGGGGCGUUUACAUAUCGUUAAUAUUCAGUGUUUUAUUGUUUACAGUUAAUAUUGUAAAUCCCACAUAAGAGGAGCGACAUUUAUAUGUUGUUAAUAUUCAGUGUUUUAUUAUUUGUAGUUAUUGUAAAUCCCACAUAAAAGAGGAGCGACUUUCAUAUGUUAAUAUUCAGUGUUUUAUUGUUUAUAGUUAAUAUUGUAAAUCCCACAUAAAAUAGGAGCAACGUUUAUAUGUUGUCAAUAUUCAGUGUUUAUAGUUAAUAUUGUAAAUCUCAAAAGAGGAGCGACGCUCAUAUAUUGUUGAUAUUCAGUGUUUUAUUGUUUAUAGUUAAUAUUGUAAAUCCCACAUAAAAUAGGAGCAACGUUUAUAUGUUGUCAAUAUUCAGUGUUUAUAGUUAAUAUUGUAAAUCUCAAAAGAGGAGCGACGCUCAUAUAUUGUUGCUAUUCAGUGUUUUAUUGUUUAUAGUUAAUAUUGUAGAUCCCACAUAAAAUAGGAGCAACGUUUAUAUGUUGUCAAUAUUCAGUGUUUUAUUGUUUAUAGUUAAUAUUGUAAAUCUCAAAAGAGGAGCAACGCUCAUAUAUUGUUGAUAUUCAGUGUUUUAUUGUUUACAGUUAAUAUUGUAAAUCCCACAUAAAAGAGGAGCGACUUUUAUAUGUUAAGAUUCAGUGUUUUAUUGUUUAUAGUUAAUAUUGUAAAUCUCACAUAAAAUAGGAGCAACGUUUAUAUGUUGUCAAUAUUCAGUGUUUUAUUGUUUAUAGUUAAUAUUGUAAAUCUCAAAAGAGGAGCGACGCUCAUAUAUUGUUGAUAUUCAGUGUUUUAUUGUUUACAGUUAAUAUUGUAGAUCCCACAUAAGAGGAGCGACAUUUAUAUGUUGUUAAUAUUCAGUGUUUCAUUAUUUGUAGUUAUUGUAAAUCCCACAUAAAAGAGGAGCGACUUUCAUAUGUUAAUAUUCAGUGUUUUAUUGUUCAUAGUUAAUAUUGUAAAUCCCACGUAAAAGAGGUGUAACGUUCAUAUGUUGUUAAUAUUCAGUGUUUUAUUGUUUAUAGUUAAUAUUGUAAAUCCCACUUUCUUCAUUUUAAUGUAUAUUUUGGGUGUCCCAUUCAGUAAAAAAACAGUAAAAUUCCAUUUAGUUUUUUUUUGAGGUGGUCUGUCAUAACUUUUUUAGAACUCUAUCAGACAUUGUGACUUUUGGUAUUAGUUUUCCUAAAAAAAAAAAAAAGGGACCCAAAAACACACACUGUACAGCUGAUUUUUACAGCUAAAUGUAAAUUUCAUUUACACAUCCACAUUGAUGUGGGAUUUGAGCCGAGGAUGUCGUUGUGGCUUGUGCAGCCCUUUGAGACACUCGUGAUUUAGGGCUAUAUAAAUAAACAUUGAUUGAUUGAUUGACAUUGGGUCCCCCCCAGAUACAUUUUUUACUCAUAAUGUGCCCCCCCCCUCCCCGAGUCAAAAUAUUUGCCCAGCUUUGACGUACACAAACAGUUUCCUCUCGGUGAUGAAGAGCUCGGCCGCCGACACCGUGCUGAAACACUGGUUGGUGGUGAUGAAGAAGAGCGCCCCCAUCCUGCAAGAAGAUCACACACUGCAAAAAAACAAGAACAUUUGGCUUGUCAAGACUUUCCAAAUCAAGUCAAAUUAAAGCAGCAAGCAGCGAUGGAUGGGACCGCUUGGGCUGCUGCCCCCGCGACCCAAGCCCGGAUAAGAGGGGGCGCUAGAGCACAAUUUUGACCAGUCCUGAUGUGUGUGUCAAAUUUGGAAUCUUCCGCCUACCUGUUCUGGAUGCCACUCUGAUCGUCUUUGACCCUGAAGAAAAUGGCCCCCACUAUGAGAGCCAGGAAAAUGUGGACCCCCACCUGCACAAAAGCAGAACCAAGACCAAUCACACACAUUGAUAUUUCAGAAUAUUUCGCUUUUUUGGUGUAGCAGGAGGUUUACAUGUAUCCGAUAGCAACUUUGUACAAAGAGUCGGAGCAUUAAGGGGUCAGGGGUCAAGCGGACACUCUCCCCCAUCAGAGAAAGCCGGCGGCGAGGGGGUUUGUGGGGGGCUUGACAGCACAGAGUGAGAAAAGUGAAUAAGGACACAUGUUUUAAUCCCAACAAUUGACACAUUAUGACAGGACUAAGCGGUUCCCAGGGUGAGCGGAUAAGCUAAUAAGGUUGAACCCGGCCCGCUCAGGCGAAAACCCAGGAGUGAUGGGUGGUGACACCGUCAUGUGACCAGCCCUGGCACCGUGGCCAUCGCGGGGGCUUGGGGGGUAUUCGGGGCCCAGAUAUGAUAUCAGUUCAGACCCUGGCCUGAAGGAGGCAAGAGUCGGGUCGCGACAGUCAUUAAAGCCGAUUAUGGCGCCCACGCCGUCCAGAUCCUCGCUUUGGGGAUUAUUGGGAAUUAUCUGGGUCCAAUUGGCUGUUAAUAAUUCUUAAAGUGAGGAGACUUCUCAGGGCUUUGAGCAGGUUGAACCCCCCCAAAAGCUGUCUGUGCCUCCAGAUCAUGGCGAUGAUGAGGGUUCUGACCAACGUUCCCUCUAAGGCAGGGAUGUCAAACACGCGGUUCAAUCCGCCCGUUGAAGUGUACCUAUGAUGAAAUUUACAGACCUCUGUCAUCAUUUUAAGUGGGAAAACUUGCACAAUCGCUGGCUGACUAAAUACUUUUUUGCCCCACUGUAUCUAAAAUAAAACAGUUUUCUAAACUGGACUUUCAAUCCAAACAGAAGAUCUCCAUCGAGACGGAGAGACUUUUAAAACUGAAGAUAUGGAAGACUUCUAUAAAGAAGUUAUCGAUGCUUUUGAUCAGAAGGAAUUGCGCAUGGACUUCAUUUAUAAGUAAAGGUAAGACCAUAAUAACGUUUGUUUUAUUAAAUGUGCUUUUCAUGAUGGUAUCCUUACAUCACACUCAAAUUUUUAAGCGCAGGCCUAAAUUUACCGCAUGCCUUUGGUAAGUGCCAGAGUGAGAAGACGUUUUAAAAUAAUUAGCGCCCCGGCGGCAAUUCAAGGAAAUACGGUAUAUGACAUAGACAUAAUAUAACAUAUCAGUAUAUAUAAUAUACUGUAUAUUAAUUAUUAGGGCUGUGAAUCUUUGGGUCUCCCACGAUUCGAUUCAAUAUCGAUUCUUGGGGUCACGAUUCGAUAUCGAUUUUUUCGAUUUGAUUCUCGAUUCAAAAACGUUAUUUUUCCGAUUCAAAAGGAUUCUGUAUUCAUUCAAUACAUAGAUUUCAGCAGGAUCUACCCCAGUCUGCUGACAUGCUAGCAGAGUAGUAGAUUUUUUUUUUUUUAAAAGCUUUUAUAAUUGUAAAAGACAAUGUUUUAUCAACUGAUUGCAAUAAUGUAAAUUUAUUUUAACUAUUAAACGAACCAAAAAUAUGACUUAUUUUAUCUUUGUGAAAACAUUGGACACAGUGUGUUGUCAAGCUUAUGAGAUGCCAUGCAAGUGUAAGCCACUGUGACACUAUUGUUCUUUUUUAUUAAUUUUAUAAAUGUCUAAUGAUAAUGUCAAUGAGGGAUUUUUAAUCACUGCUAUGCUGAAAUUAUAACUAAUAUUGAUACUGUUGUUGAUAAUAUUCAUUUUUGUUUCACUACUUUUGGUUUGUUCUGUGUGGUGUUUGUGUCUCCUCUCAAUUGCUCUGUUUAUUGCAGUUCUGAGUGUUGCUGGCUCAGGUUUGGUUUUGGAAUUGGAUUGUAUAGUUAUGGUAUUGCUGUGUAGUGGUUUGUUGGAUUGAUUAAAAAAAAUAUAUAUAUAUAUAUAUUUUUUUUAAUUGAAAAAAAAAUAGAUUUUUUCAAAAUGAGAAUCCAUUCUGAAUCGCACAACGUAAACGAUUCGAUUCGUAUUUGAAUCGAUUUUUCCCCACACCCCUAUUAAUUAUGUAAAUAUUACGUAUAUAUGCUAUAUUUUAUAUAGCUAUAUUUAGUCUAUUUAUACCUACAUUGUCCUUUCCAUCCUUACACUUUCCAUCAUUGUAACUGAGCUACUGUGUGGAACAAUUUCCCUUGUGGAUCAUUAAAGUUUGUCUAAGUCUAAGUCUAAGUCUAACUAGAGUACAGCCCAAAAACGUUCUCCUCAUUGAGCUAAAUUGAACUCUGUCUCUGCAUGAUUCCUUGCUUCUUGUCUGUUUAAUAUAGAUGUCAUGGGUGUUUGAACCUGACAAUGAUGUACAUUAGGUUUGUUGUUUCGACUCAGAAUUUAGUCUUGUCCCAAUUUUAGAUAUUCUCACAAAUCAGAAAGGCCUGAUUUCCAAAAUCUACACCUUAAUCUCCCAGUUUGGUAAAACAUCUCUUGAUAAAAUCAGAGGGAACUGGGAAGAAGAGCUUGGCAGAACCAUAGAUGAUGGAGAUUGGGAUUCUGCCUUAACCCAAAUUAACAACAGUACAUCCUGUUCAAGGCUUAAUUUAAUACAAUUUAAGGUUGUCCACCGUAUUUAUUUCACUAAUUCCAAACUCUCCAAAAUAUAUCCCAAUAUCUGGGAUACUUGUAACAGAUGUCACAUGUCACCUGCAAACAUGACGCACAUGUUUUGGUCUUGUCCCCAUUUGCUGGAUUAUUGGAUAACUAUUUUCAAACACCUUGCUAAGGCACUGGAUUUGAAUCUGACACCAUGUGCAGAAAUGGCUAUUUUUGGGACGGUGUCAUAUCCCCAAAUAAGGAGAAAAUUUAAGGAUAGUAUUGCCUUUGCAUCCUUAUUAGCACGUAGGAAAAUUUUGCUGGAGUGGAAGUCACCUUUCUGCCCCAAAGCCUCCUUCUGGCUUAAAGCAGGGGUGUCAAACUCAAAUACAGAGUGGGCCAAAAUUUUAAACAGAACAAAGCCACGGGCCAAGCUUGAACAAAUGAACCUUUUAAUAGGGACCCAAACAAGUUUUGCAUUGAAUAUUGAACGAGCAAGACUUACAUAACUUUAUAGUGACAUGCAAAAUCGAUUUUCAAAUAUUGUAGCAUCCCGGAAGAGUUAGUGCUGCAAGGGGUUCUGGGUAUUUGUUCUGUUGUGUUUAUGUUGAGUUACGGUGCGGAUGUUCUCCCUAAAUGUGGUUGACAUUCUUAUUUGGUGUGGGUUCACAGUGUGGCGCAUAUUUGUAACAGUGUUAAAGUUUUUUAUACGGCCACCCUCAGUGUGACAUGUAUGGCUGUUGACCAAGUAUGCCUUGCAUUCACUUGUUUGUGUGUAAAGUCCGCAUAUAGUAUGUGACUGGACCGACACAAUUUUUGUAUGGAGAAAAAGCGGAAGGGACGACAGGUUGUACAGGAUGUUGAAUGCAGUGCCUUUAAGGCACGUCCCCAAUCAUGUUGUUUGGGUGGAAAUCGAGAGAAAUUCGGGAGAAUGGUUGCCCCGGGUGAUUUUCGGCAAGGGCACUGAAAUUCGAGAGUCUCCCGGGAAAAUCGGGAGGGUUGGUAAGUAUGAGUAUUAGCGGUGAAUGCGGUGUUAUAAUACCGGCAGGCCAGCUCUAAUGUUCAUUUGAUAUUGCCUCAAGGGCCAAAUUAAAUUACACGGAGGGCCAAAUUUGGCCCGCGGGCCAGAGUUUGACACCCAUGGCUUAAAGACCUUAUGAUGUAUUUUGAUCUGGAAAAAAUAAAGUUCAAUCUUAGGGGGGCAGCUGAGAAGUUUUAUUUUGUUUGGGGCUAUAUGGGCUUCACGGUGGCAGAGGGGUUAGUGCGUCUGCCUCACAACAACAAGUUCCUGCAGUCCUGGGUUCAAAUCCAGGCUCGGGAUCUUUCUGUGUGGAGUUUGCAUGUUCUCCCCGUGAAUGCGUGGGUUCCCUCCGGGUACUCCGGCUUCCUCCCACUUCCAAAGACAUGCACCUGGGGAUAGGUUGAUUGGCAACACUAAAUGGGCCCUAGUGUGUGAAUGUGAGUGUGAAUGUUGUCUGUCUAUUUGUGUUGGCCCUGCGAUGAGGUGGCGACUUGUCCAGGGUGUACCCCGCCUUCCGCCCGAUUGUAGCGGAGAUAGACGCCAGCGCCCCCCGCGACCCCAAAAGGGAAUAAGCGGUAGAAAAUGGAUGGAUGGAUGGAUGGGGCUGUAUGGUUGACUACAUAGCUAAAUUAAAGACGCUACAGGACACAUGAAAAGUUCACCUUUCAUAAACCAGCUUCUUUUUAUUUUUUUUUUAUUUCUUUAUUCCGGGUGUAUAGUUACUAUCUGCCUAUGUUGAGAAGAAAGUGAUGUACUAAUUAUUUUCCAUUUGUGACUGUACCUUUAACUUAUGUAGGACACAUAUGUGUGUAUGGGGUGGGUUGCUGUUCUUGGAAAUGGGUGGGAAAAAAAAGGGAAAAUGUGUCGACUGUGUAAUAUCCGUCACAUUCAAUAAAAACAUGUAUUAAAAAAAAAAAAAAAAAAAAAGAGAAUUUAGUCUUGUCCAAGGAACAUUUGUAUUUGACGUUCACAAAACACAAAAGUUAGGUCGGUAAUUUUUACUAAAAGGCUAACAUCUUCGGUACGUUGAGUUUUAUGUACGCUGUUUUUUGUUUACACAAAUGUGUGAGUUUAGCUGGAAAUUGGAGGUUCCUACCUGGGCCACGGACGUUUGUGGGUUCAACAUUAGGUUCUGGAACGUUCUGUGCAGCACCCAUUGCAGCUGGUGGCAAAAGGAGCUGUUGUAGGUGACGGUGCGGGACUUGGGCCGCGAGGAGCAGCGCUUGUCCUGCAGGAUGCGCUCCAGCUGGGUGUGCGUGUCGCUGCAGUAGCUGCUGUUCUUGUACUCCUCCACCAGGUGCUCCUCCAUGCUCUGCCUGCUGCUGCUCAGCUCCUCAAACUCCAUAUCUGGACAAGUGCACGUCAAUGCUGUACUAAAAAAUGACUGAUUUGAAAGUAUGACACCAACACGCACAUACAUGAGGACGAGGAUUCGUUUGGCCACAUUCAGUGGGAUUUACCCGACACGUGAAACGUGACAAAUUUGGGGCGUGCGUUAUCCACUUUAGCCGACAGAACAUGUCUUAAAAUGUGUUGUGUGGCAAUUCCAAUUUUGAUUACAGCAUCAGUUGCUAUGUAGAGUGGUGCUUUGCAGCAUUUUCAGCAGACUGCAUUGCAAAAUGAUUAACCCUCGUCCCCCCUUCCUCUUACACGAGAUCCACCCAGGAAUGAGGCCAUUAAAUAAUAAUAAUAACAAUACAUUUGACUUAUAAGGCACCUUUCUGGGCACUUAAGGACACUGUACAAAAUCAAAACAAUAAAAUCAAUUGGAUAAAAACAACAACAACAAAAAUCGAUAAGAUUUACAAUUAGGGGACGGCCUGGCGCCGUUGGGAGAGUGGCUGUGCCAGCAACCUGAGGGUUCCUGGUUCAAUCCCCACCGUCUACCAACCUCGUCACGUGCGUUGUGUCCUUGAGCAAGACACUUCACCCUUGCUCCUGAUGGGUGGUGGUUAGGGCCUUGCAUGGCAGCUCCCUCCAUCAGUGUGUGAAUGGUUGAAUGUGGAAAUAGUGUCAAAGCGCUUUGAGUACCUUGAAGGUAGAAAAGCGCUGUACAAGUAUAACCCAUUUACAUUUAGAUGUCCGGUAAUGGCUUUUUUGCUGAUAUCCAAUAUUGUCCAACUGUUAAUUACCGAUUCCGAUAUCAACCGAUACCAAUAUAUACAGUCGUAGAAUGAACACAUUAUUAUGCCUAAUUUUGUUGGGAUGCCCCGUUGGAUGCAUUAAACAAUGUUUUCCCCCCCAAAAAUUCAAACUCAAGUUAUGGGCAAAAAGUGCCAACAUGGCACUGCCGUAUUUUUUAUUGAAGUCACAAAGUGCAUCAUUAUUUUUCAACAUGCUCUCCCAGAGAGAACAUGAGGAGGUUGAGGUGGGCGGGGUUUGAGGGUAGCGGGGGGUGUAUAUUGUAGCGUCCCGGAACAGUUAGUGCUGCAAGGGAUUCCGGGUAUUCGUUCUGUUGUGUUUAUGUUGUGUUACAGUGCGGAUGUUCCCCCGAAAUGUGUUUGUCAUUCUAGUUUGGUGUGGGUUCACAGUGUGGCGCGUAUUUGUAACAGUGUUAAAGUUGUUUACACGGCCACCCUCAGUGUGACCUGUAUGGCGGUUGACCAAGUAUGCCUUGCAUUCAC
Molecule: long non-coding RNA, 10799 nt
Organism: Nerophis ophidion (straightnose pipefish)
Lineage: Eukaryota; Metazoa; Chordata; Actinopteri; Syngnathiformes; Syngnathidae
Exons: 4
Source: RefSeq, a predicted model, not a curated record